CUACGGGAGGCACCAGUGAGGAAUAUUGCACAAUGGGGGAAACCCUGAUGCAGCAACGCCGCGUGGAGGAUGACGCAUUUCGGUGUGUAAACUCCUUUUAUAUGUCAAGAAAAUGACGGUAGCAUAUGAAUAAGCACCGGCUAACUCCGUGCCAGCAGCCGCGGUAAUACGGAGGGUGCAAGCGUUAUUCGGAAUCACUGGGCGUAAAGGACGCGUAGGCGGGUUUUCAAGUCAGGUGUGAAAUCCUAUGGCUCAACCAUAGAACUGCACUUGAAACUGUAAACCUAGAGUAUGGAAGGGGCAGAUGGAAUUAGUGGUGUAGGGGUAAAAUCCGUAGAUAUCACUAGGAAUACCAAAAGCGAAGGCGAUCUGCUGGGACAUUACUGACGCUAAGGCGUGAAAGCGUGGGGAGCAAACAGGAUUAGAUACCCCUGUAGUC
Molecule: ribosomal RNA, 439 nt
Filed under: uncultured bacterium
Lineage: Bacteria
Description: partial 16S ribosomal RNA
Rfam family: Bacterial small subunit ribosomal RNA
Source: RNAcentral